UUUCCGUAGGUGAACCUGCGGAAGGAUCAUCAUAAUAAAGUGUUUUAUGGCACUUUUUAAAAAUCCAUAUCCACCUUGUGUGCAAUGUUAGAUCUCGUCAAUCUUGGCGAGAUUUUUAUACAUCAACUCAUUCUUUAACUAAUUUGUCUGAAAAAUAUUAUGAAUACUUAAUUCAAAAUACAACUUUCAACAACGGAUCUCUUGGCUCUC
Molecule: unclassified non-coding RNA, 210 nt
Filed under: plant metagenome
Description: partial contains small subunit ribosomal RNA, internal transcribed spacer 1, and 5.8S ribosomal RNA
Source: RNAcentral